GACGAACGCUGGCGGCGUGCUUAACACAUGCAAGUCGAACGGAAAGGCCCUGCUUUUGUGGGGUGCUCAAGUGGCGAACGGGUGAGUAACACGUGAGUAACCUGCCCUUGACUUUGGGAUAACUUCAGGAAACUGGGGCUAAUACCGGAUAGGAGCUCCUGCUGCAUGGUGGGGGUUGGAAAGUUUCGGCGGUUGGGGAUGGACUCGCGGCUUAUCAGCUUGUUGGUGGGGUAGUGGCUUACCAAGGCUUUGACGGGUAGCCGGCCUGAGAGGGUGACCGGCCACAUUGAGACUGAGAUACGGCCCAGACUCCUACGGGAGGCAGCAGUGGGGAAUAUUGCACAAUGGGCGGAAGCCUGAUGCAGCAACGCCGCGUGCGGGAUGACGGCCUUCGGGUUGUAAACCGCUUUCGCCUGUGACGAAGCGUGAGUGACGGUAAUGGGUAAAGAAGCACCGGCUAACUACGUG
This 468-nucleotide ribosomal RNA is filed under the name uncultured bacterium. Its description in RNAcentral is "partial 16S ribosomal RNA". It matches the Rfam family "Bacterial small subunit ribosomal RNA", at positions 28 to 507 of the family's 1533-position model. The record is from RNAcentral.